This 468-nucleotide ribosomal RNA is filed under the name uncultured bacterium. Its description in RNAcentral is "partial 16S ribosomal RNA". It matches the Rfam family "Bacterial small subunit ribosomal RNA", at positions 28 to 507 of the family's 1533-position model. The record is from RNAcentral.
GACGAACGCUGGCGGCGUGCUUAACACAUGCAAGUCGAACGGAAAGGCCCUGCUUUUGUGGGGUGCUCGAGUGGCGAACGGGUGAGUAACACGUGAGUAACCUGCCCUUGACUUUGGGAUAACUUCAGGAAACUGGGGCUAAUACCGGAUAGGAGCUCCUGCUGCAUGGUGGGGGUUGGAAAGUUUCGGCGGUUGGGGAUGGACUCGCGGCUUAUCAGCUUGUUGGUGGGGUAGUGGCUUACCAAGGCUUUGACGGGUAGCCGGCCUGAGAGGGUGACCGGCCACAUUGGGACUGAGAUACGGCCCAGACUCCUACGGGAGGCAGCAGUGGGGAAUAUUGCACAAUGGGCGGAAGCCUGAUGCAGCAACGCCGCGUGCGGGAUGACGGCCUUCGGGUUGUAAACCGCUUUCGCCUGUGACGAAGCGUGAGUGACGGUAAUGGGUAAAAAAGCACCGGCUAACUACGUG